GGGGAUGUAGCUCAGUGGUAGACUGCAUGCUUUGCAUGUGUGAAGACUUGGGUUCAGGUCCCAUCUUCUCCA
RNAcentral lists this transfer RNA (72 nucleotides) under Alligator mississippiensis (American alligator). It matches the Rfam family "tRNA". From Rfam's summary of the family: Transfer RNA (tRNA) molecules are approximately 80 nucleotides in length. The record is from Rfam by way of RNAcentral. Lineage: Eukaryota; Metazoa; Chordata; Crocodylia; Alligatoridae.